UUUCCGUUGGUGAACCUGCGGAAGGAUCAUUAUUGUAUAACCGAGGUGCGAGGGCUGUCGCUGACCCGAAAGGUCGUGCACGCCCGAGUGCCCUCACACACAUCCAUCUCACCCCUAUGUGCACCACCGCGUGGGUCCCCCUUUGGCUUGUUCGGAGGGGGGCUUACGCUUUCACACAAACUUUGUAUGCAGUGUAGAAUGUAUUUUUUGUUUUUGCGAUCACGCAAUCAAUACAACUUUCAACAACGGAUCUCUUGGCUCUC
RNAcentral lists this unclassified non-coding RNA (263 nucleotides) under plant metagenome. RNAcentral describes it as "partial contains small subunit ribosomal RNA, internal transcribed spacer 1, and 5.8S ribosomal RNA". The record is from RNAcentral.